CUUGGUCUGGGACAACUGUUGGAAACGACAGCUAAUACCGGAUAUUAUGAGAUUCUCGCAUGGGAAACUUAUGAAAGCUAUAUGCGCCAAGAGAGAGCCUUGCGUUCCAUUAGCUAGUUGGUGGGGUAACGGCCCACCAAGGCGACGAUGGAUAGCCGGCCUGAGAGGGUGAACGGCCACAAGGGGACUGAGACACGGCCCUUACUCCUACGGGAGGCAGCAGUGGGGAAUAUUGGACAAUGGGCCACAAGCCUGAUCCAGCAAUUCUGUGUGCACGAUGAAGGUCUUCGGAUUGUAAAGUGCUUUCAGUUGGGAAGAAGAAAGUGACGGUACCAACAGAAGAAGCGACGGCUAAAUACGUGCCAGCAGCCGCGGUAAUACGUAUGUCGCAAGCGUUAUCCGGAUUUAUUGGGCGUAAAGCGCGUCUAGGCGGAAAAAUAAGUCUGAUGUUAAAAUGCGGGGCUCAACUCCGUAUUGCGUUGGAAACUGUUUUUCUAGAGUACUGGAGAGGUGGGCGGAACUAC
This 524-nucleotide ribosomal RNA is filed under the name uncultured bacterium. Its description in RNAcentral is "bacterial SSU rRNA". It matches the Rfam family "Bacterial small subunit ribosomal RNA", at positions 132 to 670 of the family's 1533-position model. The record is from RNAcentral.